This 981-nucleotide ribosomal RNA is filed under the name uncultured bacterium. Its description in RNAcentral is "bacterial SSU rRNA". It matches the Rfam family "Bacterial small subunit ribosomal RNA", at positions 401 to 1399 of the family's 1533-position model. The record is from RNAcentral.
GUGAAGGAAGAAGGCUUUCGGGUUGUAAACUUCUUUUGUCGGGGGCGAAACAAAUGACGGUACCCGACGAAUAAGCCACGGCUAACUACGUGCCAGCAGCCGCGGUAAUACGUAGGUGGCAAGCGUUAUCCGGAUUUACUGGGUGUAAAGGGCGUGUAGGCGGGAUUGCAAGUCAGAUGUGAAAACUGGGGGCUCAACCUCCAGCCUGCAUUUGAAACUGUAGUUCUUGAGUGCUGGAGAGGCAAUCGGAAUUCCGUGUGUAGCGGUGAAAUGCGUAGAUAUACGGAGGAACACCAGUGGCGAAGGCGGAUUGCUGGACAGUAACUGACGCUGAGGCGCGAAAGCGUGGGGAGCAAACAGGAUUAGAUACCCUGGUAGUCCACGCCGUAAACGAUGGAUUCUAGGUGUGGGGGGUCUGACCCCCUCCGUGCCGCAGUUAACACAAUAAGGUAUCCCACCUGGGGAGUACGAUCGCAAGGUUGAAACUCAAAGGAAUUGACGGGGGCCCGCACAAGCGGUGGAGUAUGUGGUUUAAUUCGAAGCAACGCGAAGAACCUUACCAGGGCUUGACAUCCCACUAACGAAGCAGAGAUGCAUUAGGUGCCCUUCGGGGAAAGUGGAGACAGGUGGUGCAUGGUUGUCGUCAGCUCGUGUCGUGAGAUGUUGGGUUAAGUCCCGCAACGAGCGCAACCCUUAUUGUUAGUUGCUAUGCAAGAGCACUCUAGCGAGGCUGCCGUUGACAAAACGGAGGAAGGUGGGGAAGACGUCAAAUCAUCAUGCCCUUUAUGUCUUGGGCCACCCAGGUAUUCCAAUGGUGGUUAACAGAGGGAGGCAAUGCCGCGAGGUGGAGCAAAUCCCUAAAAGCCAUCCCAGUUGGGAUGGCCGGGUGAAACCCGCGUGUAUGAAGUGGGAAUCGCUAGUAAUCGCGGAUCAGCAUGCGGCGGGGAAUAAGAUCCCGGGCCUUGUACACGCCGCCCGUCA